Molecule: non-coding RNA, 1165 nt
Organism: Paramisgurnus dabryanus
Lineage: Eukaryota; Metazoa; Chordata; Actinopteri; Cypriniformes; Cobitidae
Source: RefSeq, a predicted model, not a curated record
GUUAUUAUUCAUUACAGGUCUAACCUUAGAUCAUAUAGUUGUGAUCUGUUGUGUUGCUGUUGGAUGUCUGAUGAUUGUCGCUUUAGUUCUGAUCUUCUGCAUCUGCAAGAAACACAGAAACACACAGCAACAGGUUCAGACCGGUGAAGAGGAAAUCACUUACAAAGAAACAACUUUCCAAAAAAGACAAACACAUAAACAAAGAACUCCAGAAGACGUUGAAGUGGUGUACUUAGAAGUCACGUUAAAUCCUGAAAAACUCAACUGUAAUAUAUCAUUUUAAAAUACAUUGGGCCUCAUUUAUCAAUCUAACACACACACACACACACAUAUAUAAAAAUCACACACACGCACACCCAUACAAUCACAUUUGCAAGUUGUUAAAGUAAACGAAAACACUAUUUUAGGUUUUUCUCAUUAUUCCUUUUCAAACAGCAAACGGCUAAACAUACAUUCUUCACGCUAACUCAAAACUUGCAUAAAUAAUGUGAAACAUGACGUGAGAUUUGAAUGUAGCCACCACUCAAAUCCAUAUUGAUGAAUUUCAAGUCUUAACGAGCCAAGAAACGACCAUACGCACAGUUUUCUGUCGUACGCUCGUGUCAUAAAUGAGGCCCAAAGUAUGUUAAAUGUUUUAUGUUUGUUACUGAAUGCUUCAUUUCUUUGUUGACGUUAAACAUGGUGUGAAAAGAAAUGUGGUUAUGUUCUGUUGUUGCAAAUGAGAUAUGUGUUUGACUAUUGGCUGUUUGUGGUGUGUAAACGGGGAGCUACGUGUAUAUGUAAGAGGUGUUAACAGCAUGUGCAUGUUUGUGUGAGUAUUGUGUCUUUCUUUUGCUGUCUUGCACGCUACACAAAACAGCUUUACAAUUAAUUAUUGAAUUCAUCAAUGUAACAGUUAGCAAAUAUAAUAUGUUUUUAAUCAAACAGUGUUAUUACUGUGAAAUCUUACUCUGUGAAUGUAAAAUAAUGAGAUUUAUGACUCUUGCUAUCAUUAUUAUUAUUUAUAUCAUGCUGUUCCUGUAGCUCAGUUGGUAAAGCAUUGCAUUAACAAUAGUAACCAAAAGUUCAUGCUUCCCAGAAAACAUACUGUACAUACUGACACAAUGCACAUCUUAAAAGUCACUUGCUAAAUGCAUGAAUAUAAAUGUAUUUCUCAUGCAAACAA